Molecule: long non-coding RNA, 4629 nt
Organism: Aedes albopictus (Asian tiger mosquito)
Lineage: Eukaryota; Metazoa; Arthropoda; Insecta; Diptera; Culicidae
Exons: 3
Source: RefSeq, a predicted model, not a curated record
UUAGGAAUAAUAGGAAGCUGAAUGUAAUAUGUUUUGAAUAUCUAAUUAUUUUUUUUUUCUCGUCAGAUUAGAUAUUGAUGAGUGUUGGGAACAAUCUCCUUAAAUGGUAGCAAAAUAUUCAAUAAAUAAAACAAGAUUUGCAUUUUUCUUUCAAAAAAAAAAAAUCUUUAUCAGUUAUAGCAAUGUUGAUUCAAAAUCGCCAGCUUUGUACGGGAUAUCGAAAAUAUUUUCAGCUCUACUGUAUUUUUUCCCUUAUGCUUUCGAACUUAGGGCAUAAUUUUACACUAAACAUGAUUUUCAGAUGUAAGCUAGCAUUACAAUAGAAUGGAAUCAAUCAAAACAAAAAAAAUAAUAAUAAUUUUGUAAAUAUGCAGCAGACCGGCGAUAAUAAGGUCGUGUUAAUUUGAAAAAAAAAUCAGUAAAAAUAUCAACAUAAAAAUGACCACUAAUACAAUGGAUGAAAUAGGCAACAAUAGUGGAGCGAACAACGCUAGAUUUGAAUUUCCAAUAAAUUUUGCUAUACAGUGUAUUCCAGAAUUUCAUGGUAGUGCAUGUGAAUUAGAUGCUUUCAUAUAUCAAAUAAAUUGUUUUUUGAAAUCCAUAAAACGGAUAACUGAUGCUAGUGAAAGGAAAAAUGCAGAAACCGUACUCAUUCAAAUUGCACUGUCUAAACUUAAAGGCCCAGCAGCGUUAAAAUUUAAAAACAUUCUUGCAAAUACUUGGGAUAAAGUGAAAGAUAAUCUCCAAAAAGAAUUCGGAAUUAGUUUACAUUUGGAAGAACUGUUUAAUAAAAUAGAGACCCUUGAACAAGGCAAGUGUGAAAGUUUUAAAAACUACAAAGAUCGCGUUCUUCAACUUAAGAGGAAUAUUGAUGAAUUCGAAAAAGAUUAUAUUAAAGAUCCUACAAUUGAGUCAUACGCUCAAAUACAUUUAAGAAUACAUUUUCUAGCGGGAUUGGAAGAUAUAAAUUUGAAAAUUUUUGCAAAAACGAAAAAAGAAGACUCAUUGGAAGAUUUGCUAGAUUACCUACAAGAAGAAUGCAUCGAUGUGGAACAACAAGAACGCAUCGAGCAGAGAUUGAGGGAUUCCCACACUGCAGAAUUUUACAGGCAACAAAAUGAAAAACAGAAAUUCAGUAAUCCACAAUGUAUUGAUCACAACUUCCAUUACGAUAAAAGUAGAUUCAACCAGAGCGAAAUAGGUUAUGAAAAAGAUUUUAACAAUUCAAGAGCAAAUUUUCAAUACGCCCUAAGUAACAUUUUGAUCUUAUCGAGAAAAUCGAAUUCAAAGUUUUGGUUUUCAUUUUUAAUUCCUAUUUAAUGAUCAAACCGAAAACAGUAUAAUGAAUAAGCGCAAACGACAUCAGAUAACAGCGUUUAUUACUUCCUGAUUAAAAAUAUAGAUAGAGUACAAAAAAACAUUAGUUUUUUGCAUUAAAUCAGUUCUACGUCGUUUGGCGUCAGAAAACGUAAAUAAGACAUUUUGUUAAGUCAUUCUGAAACCUCUCGGUUACUUUCGUCGGUUACGUUACGUCGCGUUACGCGAAUUUAUGUUGCUUACGUCGGUGUGUUUACGUCAUGUAGCCAGCUGUCAUGUUGGUUACGCCAAGUUACUUACGUCGUUGUGUUGAUCGAUUUGUGUGGAAGAUUGGCACUUAAGCCAUACGGAUUCCUCAUAGAAAAAGUAAGUGUUUCCUACGCAGCAAUGGUGCCGCAGGCAAAUUAACUUGGAAUACCUAGCGGCAACAACAGGCGCCAACGGAUGCAACCGAACCGGGGAAGUCUUCGUUCCGAAAUCGGAAUGAUAUUAUAGUAAUAUAAUCUAGAAGAUCCAGGGCGAAUCCUGUUGCAAGCUCAUCAGCUGCAGCUCAUCCAGGAUUGUGGCCACUGAGCGGAUGACUGUCGGUGUAUCGUGCAAUGCUCUAGGGCUUGCGACAAUGUUUCGAAAGCAAGGCGGCGGUGAACUAGGAGGCCGAGGUGGCGAUAGAGACGACCGCGGAGAUAGCCAGCAUCGCGGUGAUAACCAUGACAACGGACAGAGUAAUUUAAAAGUUGCAUAACUAACUAUGGUUACUGGACCAACUUGCAGACUAAAAGAUGCUGUAUGCCUUCAAGAACGUCCAAACUAUCCUGGAGUUUAGCCAUUGACAUCUACAGCUGUACAAUAGUUAUGUUUGCCGUUAAAUGUUGUUCAACUAUAAUAUAUUAUCCCUUCGAAGUUGUACGAACCAUUCAUUUUGGAUGUUGGAGAUCAACCAACUACUCCGAAUAACAGAACUUGUUACGAAUGUAGUCAUAUCCCCAUAUACAGAGUAUUGUUGCAUAAUCAACUAAAAUUACUGGGCCUGCAUAAAUCAUAAUCGUUUAUACUUUUGGGACAUUUAGCGUCGUCCAAACUGCCCUGGAGUUUAGUCCCUAACAUCUACUAACAGUAGUGGUUUACGCUACGUAUUAGAUAUUAUGUUAUCAGUACAAAACCGAAUUAGGCGCCAUCCAUAAACAACGUAGACACAUUUUUGGCCAUCUCAGCCCCCCCUCCCCCCUCCCCCUCGUAGACUUUUGCUCAUAGGUACAAAGUUUUCGAAAUUUGUAUGGACCGCAGACUUCGGCCAUAUGAAAUCUGUGUUGAGAAAAUGUCUACUUUUCAAGUGAGCACUUUUUUUUAAAAGGCACGUGAAUAGGCAUGGAAACAGCAUCUGUAGUUAAAUCUCUUUUAGUUUAAAACUUUAUUAGAAAAGAUAUUAGCUAGCAGUUGUAGGGUGGAGCGGAGCUAAAUGAACACCCCAAGAAUUACCUGGAGUUUACUAGAAGUGCACGCAGGACUAUCGUUUAUCAAGAAUAUUAAUUGGAUGAACUUAUUUCAAUGGAUGACGUUGUUUUGGCAAAAUUAAUCGCAUUAGUAAUCAAACUUAUCUUGCGCCGUCCUACCCUACACACGGUCUUAGAAUUUGGUGACAAUGACGAGAAAGAGCUACUACUGAUUCAACUUUGGGGGCAGUUUUUGUUCCUGAUAUUGCUGCUGUUGUUCCUGAUUCUGUCGGCGUGAUAAUUAUUUACGAGCUGGUGCUGCUGGUAGAACUGCUGUGCGGGGUUGCAGUUGGGCCAAAAUCUGCACCUGGUGUUGUCGCUGUUGCUGCAGUUUUCCCACGCUUCGGAGGAUUUUAGGAAAUCGAAGAGGCUUUGACGUGGAGGCGUGGCGUCAAUUUUGGGCUUCCUACCCACCGUUCGGGAGGAUCCUACCCACCGUUCCAUUUUGGAGAAAUCACCCGACUAUUAGGUUUUCUCGCUUUCAGACGAGGUGUGAUCGGUCUCAUCUUAAUGCAGCAGCCAGUUUAACAGGACCAAUCGGGACACCUUCAGCAGUCGUCGCGCAAACUGGUCCGCAAGUUUUCCUGAAAAAAAAAAUGUUCUCAUUUAGUCCCAUUCAACACAGGGAGGACUCUCAUGACCCGUAAGAAAACUGAGAGGGGCUUACCUUGCACCGUCCUAUCCACGCACGGUCUUAGAAGUUGGCAGGGAAGUUGAUGACGACGACGAGAGCUUGAUCAGCUUAUUUCCGUCCGAACUGGGUUUGAUCAUGCAUCCCUAGUUCUUGCUCGACUUGCUAGCGUCGACGGAAGCGGAUGAGAAAGAAUGCGUUGCCAAACCUGCAAAGGCGGCAAACGAUGCCGAUCUGAUGGAAGCACCGCUUGGAAGGUGGCCUGUGGAAGCAGAUAAAGUAGCACGUUAGACUUUUUUAUAUUGAUUUUUUGUGGAUGAGUAAUGAUCAAUGCGAAAAGUUGGCGAAAUUACUCUCUAUUGGUUCAUAACUUACCUUACAGCGCCGAGAAAACAAUGUCCGGAUUCUUUUGCAGCAGAGCAUCAAGGAACUUUCAUCGACACCUUGAGCUUAUCAAUCACAUCACUAAUGCGGGAGCAUUUGCAUUCCGGCGAGGAAUUUUUAGAUGUCCGCUGCACCACUUACAAAUUGACGGUGGGAGAUUCAUCUUUGGACUGGACGAUGAGUAAUUUCAAGAUUUCUUCUCGCUCCCUGUAUCACAAUAACUUGAGGACAACGAACCACUGCUCAAGCCACUGCUUUGGGUGGUACUAGCACCGAAAAAUACUUAUUACUACCAUCCGAACUAUUGCAGGAAGUGCCCCUUUCAAGCUGAGUGCUUCCACCGGGAAAGUGUUUCGGCGAUAAUGUUCCGAUGCUUCUUCUUCUUCUUCUUCUCUUCUGGUUUGUUUGGACCGGUGACAGUGACCAUACGUCCAGCUGCUUCUUUUACGUCGAUUUGACAGCCCACCCCUAUGACUGCGGUUGCAGUGUUUCGGUCUCAGUAGGCGGGAUAGCCGAUUAGCUCAUCAGGCCUAUCAGCUGUUGCCUUGGUGCGGUUUGUUUUGAUCGGAAAGUAUUCGUUUACAGUUUGGAACUAAUUUCGACUCAUUUUAUAUUUUUAAUUGAGUUUUCCUCAGAAAACUUACAACAUCUCGAAGGAUAUUCACAUCCUUCGCUUCGAAUAGCUGUUUAGAGUUUUGAAAUCGCAGAUCGGACUGUCUUUCAGCUUCAUUUUAUGCAGCCAGUAUUUGCUGUAGUCGUGCCCGGUGAUCAGUCUGUUGAGAGUUCUUGUUUCGACGUUGUUCAAAG